Molecule: small nuclear RNA, 229 nt
Filed under: Mesocricetus auratus (golden hamster)
Lineage: Eukaryota; Metazoa; Chordata; Mammalia; Rodentia; Cricetidae
Description: 7SK RNA
Rfam family: 7SK RNA
About the family: 7SK was discovered as an abundant small nuclear RNA in the mid-70s but a possible function has only recently been suggested. Two independent studies have found that 7SK RNA binds the CDK9/cyclin T complex (known as elongation factor P-TEFb).
Source: Rfam by way of RNAcentral
AGAUGUGAGGGGGAUCUGGCUGGGCAGUGUUCACUCCUCCCUUACUGCUCCAUUGCUUCCCCCGAACUGAGUACGCAGUGGAAGAGGGCAGCAUUCUCCAGAGGAUCGUCAGCAGGGGUGUGUGCGUAGCAGCAGUCCCUGCCAGACCCUCCAGGCAAGCUUUCAAGAAGAAAUUUUAAUCAUAAGUACAGCCAGCUGCUUUGAUGGCUCAUCUAUGUAAUCUUGGUAU